Molecule: long non-coding RNA, 1042 nt
Filed under: Meleagris gallopavo (turkey)
Lineage: Eukaryota; Metazoa; Chordata; Aves; Galliformes; Phasianidae
Description: lncRNA (ENSMGAG00000022415.1)
Source: RNAcentral
AAAAAAGAUUUCAAUCUUGCUUUAUGAAAUCCUGACUUAAAAUCCUCCCUGCCCUCAGCAGCCAACCCCCCUCUGCUGCAUUAUGACUGCUCUUCACCCCACGUGCUUUCCAGUCUGAGCUACCCUGCCCAGCACCACUCCAGCCAAACUCCCAGCUUCUCACCCCAUAUCUGUACAGUAUCUGGCACUAAGAAGACAAAUAUGGCAGCCUUCCUCACCAGCUCCUGAAGCUGAAAAAAAAUGUGAGGAACCCAGACUGUGAUUGAUCUGCUUCUUUAGGUAAGUUUUGAAUAAAUGGCAGCUGUCUGAUGCUGGGUGAGAGUAGAAGAGUUUGUUAUCCUACCCACAUCUACAACAAAAUAAACCCAAGAUUUACCAGAAUAGGGAAAGCCAUGUGAGCACAGGCUGAUGUUUACAAUAUUUGCAGCAUCCAGCUUUCUCCAGUUAGAUGACACCAGUUAAGAAAACCAACAAAUUGCACAGAUUUUUCUGUUUCUACUCCCAGCAAUAUUACUGCCGAUGGGGGCUAGGUUGAAGGCAACAACAAACCAAAGGAAACUUUAGCGAACGUGGAGUGACAUGGCUGCAGCCCAAGUCGCCAUUCAGAGUGUAAUUCCACUCCACUGAGGACUCAGAAGGUUUGGUUGCAGCAGAUAAACAAGUCGCUAUGUUAUCCUGAAGUGUGACAAAUGCCACCACAAUGCUGCCUGGAGAAGAAGAGACUGAACACAAGAUUCAAGCUCAAUUCCUACCUGAGAAUGCUGAAGAAAAAGAAUCUCAGCACUCUGCCAGAAAAUGUUGAGGGUGCAAGCAGUGGGAUUUGGAUUCCCUCUACUGUAAUCCAAUGGACUUUAGACAAAUCACUUUGGGUAUGUCUAUAUUAAGAGAGUAAAGGCUCAAAACACCACAACAAUUCCUCUGGUGCCUCUCUAGGCCAGGAAGAAGAAGCAAGAGGGAAGUGCAAAGUAAACUUUAGAUCACUGAUGGCAUUUGGAAGUGUAUUUCCUUUUGAUAUAAUAUCUCAGGUACAGUUCUGUAUCAG